This 514-nucleotide ribosomal RNA is filed under the name uncultured bacterium. Its description in RNAcentral is "bacterial SSU rRNA". It matches the Rfam family "Bacterial small subunit ribosomal RNA", at positions 391 to 916 of the family's 1533-position model. The record is from RNAcentral.
GCGACGCCGCGUGAGGGAUGACGGCCUUCGGGUUGUAAACCUCUUUCGUACCGACGAAGCGGAAGUGACGGUAGGUACAGAAGAAGCACCGGCCAACUACGUGCCAGCAGCCGCGGUAAUACGUAGGGUGCGAGCGUUGUCCGGAAUUAUUGGGCGUAAAGGGCUCGUAGGCGGUUUGUCGCGUCGGGAGUGAAAACGCCGUGCUUAACACGGCGCUUGCUUUCGAUACGGGCAGACUAGAGGUAUGCAGGGGAGAACGGAAUUCCUGGUGUAGCGGUGAAAUGCGCAGAUAUCAGGAGGAACACCGGUGGCGAAGGCGGUUCUCUGGGCAUUACCUGACGCUGAGGAGCGAAAGUGUGGGGAGCGAACAGGAUUAGAUACCCUGGUAGUCCACACCGUAAACGUUGGGCGCUAGGUGUGGGGUCCAUUCCACGGAUUCCGUGCCGCAGCUAACGCAUUAAGCGCCCCGCCUGGGGAGUACGGCCGCAAGGCUAAAACUCAAAGGAAUUGACGG